UACGUAGGGUGCGAGCGUUGUCCGGAAUUAUUGGGCGUAAAGAGCUCGUAGGCGGCCUGUCGCGUCGGAUGUGAAAGCCCGGGGCUUAACCCCGGGUCUGCAUUCGAUACGGGCAGGCUAGAGUGUGGUAGGGGAGAUCGGAAUUCCUGGUGUAGCGGUGGAAUGCGCAGAUAUCAGGAGGAACACCGGUGGCGAAGGCGGGUCUCUGGGCCGAUACUGACGCUGAGGAGCGAAAGCGUGGGGAGCGAACAGG
This 253-nucleotide ribosomal RNA is filed under the name uncultured bacterium. RNAcentral describes it as "partial 16S ribosomal RNA". It matches the Rfam family "Bacterial small subunit ribosomal RNA", at positions 524 to 776 of the family's 1533-position model. The record is from RNAcentral.